AACAUUGCCUUAUGUAUAACCUAUAUAAGGUACAUCCUGCCCAGUGAUAUUUAAACGGCCGCGGUACCCUGACCGUGCUAAGGUAGCAUAAUCAUUUGCCUUCUAAUUAAAGGCUAGAAUGAAUGGACAAACGAAAAUUUAGCUGUCUCAAAUAAACAUCUAAAAAUUAAUCUUUUAAUGAAUAAGUUAAAAUAUAGAUAAAGGACAAAAAGACCCUGUAGAACUUUAUUUAAAUAACAGUUCCUUAAUAAUAAUUUUAUAUAUAAAUAACUAAUUACUAAUUUAGUUGGGGCGACUCUGGAAUAACUAAAUCUUCCUUUAAAAACACAGAUAAUAAUCUUACCUAAUGACCCUUUAAUAAGAUCACAAGAAUAGUUACCUCAGGGAUAACAGACUAAUUUUCCUUAAGAGACCACAUUGACAGGAAAGUUUGGCACCUCGAUGUUGGCUUAGGUGCCCCUUGAAGAGCAGCCUCUUCAAAUGGUAGGCUUGUUCAUCCUUUAAAUACCUACGUGAUCU
RNAcentral lists this ribosomal RNA (519 nucleotides) under Acrocirridae sp. horned bomber. RNAcentral describes it as "partial 16S ribosomal RNA". It matches the Rfam family "Bacterial large subunit ribosomal RNA", at positions 1812 to 2606 of the family's 2925-position model. The record is from RNAcentral. Lineage: Eukaryota; Metazoa; Annelida; Polychaeta; Terebellida; Acrocirridae.